Molecule: long non-coding RNA, 2241 nt
Organism: Lotus japonicus
Lineage: Eukaryota; Viridiplantae; Streptophyta; Magnoliopsida; Fabales; Fabaceae
Exons: 8
Source: RefSeq, a predicted model, not a curated record
UUUUCGUUUCCACGUCUUCUGAAUUUCUAAAGGCGUCGUGCGUUUUCGUUUCUCCCUUUAAAGUUUUCUUCAACCACCCAAUCCUCAUUCCUCAAUCAAGUAAGAACUGUUUCAGUCCAAUCUUACGCCACCAAAUCUCGCUUCCACCACCCACCCAGUCCCACUGAAUCCGCCGCCAAACCCACCUUCCACCUCCAUCAAACUCAAACUCGCGACACCGUUCCUUCUUCUUCAGCCGAGCAACCGCUACACUGCUUCCUCUUUUUCAGCCAAACCACCCUCCCUGUCCUUCGACCAAAUCCAUCUUCAGGUAACUACUGACUUCGAUUGAACCUGUUUUAUCUGGAUUUUCAUAGGAUUAUUGUGUUUCAGUUCUUCUAUAUGGGGUUUGGAAAUCUAAUCAAUUUUCGCUCAAGCUCAUGCUUUCACAGUUCUAUGCCAUUUGUUCUUUCCAUUUCAGGCGGUGAUGAGUGACGACCUUUGGAAGCGUUAUCUUCUUCGACAUUGGUAUAAACCCUUAGUUAUAUGCCUUAUUUCUGCAUUUUGAUUGCUGAUUUCGUAUUGCAGUGACUGAUGGAGAGAAAGUGGAGUAAUGAGGGUUUGGUGGUUCUUGAACAUUGGGGUUUGAUUAUUGGUUGUUUAAGUGAGGAACAGAACAAGUGAUAGUGGCAGGUUUGGUGGUGAGAAGGGGCUUGCCAUGGAGGGGAAAAGAAAGGAAAGGAGUUUGACAAUCUCACCUCAUUCAACUCUCCGUCUUAUCCCAUCAAGGAGUUUUGUUCAAGUUCAUGCUUCCACCUCUUUUAAUUGCGUCGCCCAUUUUUCCCUUUAUGGCCUCCGUUUUCCACCUCCUUCUCAGAUAGAGAGCUCGAUCGGUUGUCAAAGGAGACACCUUCGCAGCCGUUUAGCACUCAGCAGCGUGAAGGAGAUGGAUCCAAGGGAUCUCUUCCGACAGCGGAGUGACCAGGUUAUUCCCGAUUUCGCCGUUUCUGCUUUAAUUCCGGCUCUACGCUGCACUGAUUUCGCCCAACAUAUAUGCUUGAACAGGUUUUGUUUGAUUGUUUGGUGUCUGAUAGUUUCUGGGGGCAGGAUUGGAUCCUCUUUUUAUAUAGACUGAAUUUGAUUUGAAUCAAUUUCCUUCUUGGCAGAUUUGCUGCUUCACUAAUCUGUGUUAUGUUGAACCACUCUGCUACAAAUGAUGAACACAAUGGAUAGGAUUGUUGAGGAUCCCUUUCAUUAUAGCAGCACUUCACUUUUGAAGGCUAAGGAAAUAGAAGUAAUUCAAACAUGUAUUCAGAAUGAAAGGAAACAACAAGGGAGCAAGAGUUUUUGCCAGUUGUUUCAAGCAUUGUCCAUACCCAGAUGAAAAGCAUUGAAAAGAGUUGUAAUAUGUGCUGGAUUAGAGCCUUUGCAAGUGAAGUUUUGGUUUCAAAAAAGAAUUUGGUUCAAGCACAGCCUCUACAGCCAAGUUGAGUGAAUUCUUGAAUGUACCCUCCUUUCCUUCCAGAGGUCUAAAUGAGUGCCUAUGUAUGGCUUGGUUUUACUCACAAGGAUGCUGAUUUGUGUCUUUCCCUUUUGGGUUAAAGAGAAGCGUGGUUCCUUCGAGCUUCCAUGACUAAGAUCUUGCACCACUGAAUAGGAAUGGAACCUUUUCGAUUCGAUGGUGUGUUCUUCUUACAUUGCUACAAAGGUGAGGACUUGGAGCGACAAUGGGAUGAAGAAGCUGAAGCUAAUGCUUGCGAGGAUGAGUUUCUGAAUCAAGUUUCAUUGCAGCGAGUUGAUUCUCAGCUCCUCUAAUGUGAUGACUUCUCUCACCUCUGGUGAAUGGCUCGAUUACAUAUUUGUCACCUCGCAAUCUUCUCCGUCGUUGUAUUUGUGAGGCGGUGUGCCUGUGAUGAAUCAACGAGGCUUGAUGAGCUCGAGGGCGAUCUUCAGAUACCUUCAGAUGUAGAAAACCAAUGCUUUCAAGAGUGCACCUUUUUUCUUGGUGAGUCUGUUGCUCAGUCCCUCGCAUGCUGUGGCUGCUUUGAGCUGUGAAGAUUGCAAAUUAGAAAGAGUGUGGCUUCUCAGCUUGCUCAUCAAAAAGUGGUUGUGGUUGGGUAGCUUUACUUCUCUAGCUUAAAGUGGACUUCCUUUCCCUUUUGUCUUUGAUGUAGAACCACUUUGCAAAGUAUUUGAAUGGUUUGAGAUAUGUUUUUCUUCUUUACAAUGAUGGCACUCAUGAAUGAGGGAUGUUUAUUUUUA